GGUCGCGUAGCUCAGUCGGUAGAGCGCUGUGCUAAUAACGCAGUGGUCGUGGGUUCGAGCCCCACCGUGACCA
Molecule: transfer RNA, 73 nt
Filed under: Moneuplotes crassus
Lineage: Eukaryota; Ciliophora; Spirotrichea; Euplotida; Euplotidae
Also listed under: 1 other name
Description: tRNA-Ile
Rfam family: tRNA
About the family: Transfer RNA (tRNA) molecules are approximately 80 nucleotides in length. Their secondary structure includes four short double-helical elements and three loops (D, anti-codon, and T loops).
Source: RNAcentral